Molecule: non-coding RNA, 786 nt
Filed under: Perkinsus marinus ATCC 50983
Lineage: Eukaryota; Perkinsozoa; Perkinsida; Perkinsidae
Description: Eukaryotic small subunit ribosomal RNA
Rfam family: Eukaryotic small subunit ribosomal RNA
Source: Rfam by way of RNAcentral
AGUCUGAGUGAAACAGCUUCCAGUGCAGAUCUUGGUGGUAGUAGCAAGUAUUCAAUAAGAGAACAUUGAAGGCCGAAGUGGGGAAGGGUUCCAUGUGAACAGCACUUGGACAUGGGUUAGCCGAUCAAAAAUACAUCAAAAAGUAAUUCUAGAGCUAAUACAUGCGUCAAGGCCCGACUUCGGAAGGGCUGCGUUUAUUAGAUACAGAACCAACCUAGGCUCCGCCUAGUCCUUGUUGGUGAUUCAUAAUAACCCGGCGAAUCGCACGGCUUGUCCGGCGAUGGACCAUUCAAGUUUCUGACCUAUCAGCUAUGGACGGUAGGGUAUUGGCCUACCGUGGCGUUGACGGGUAACGGGGAAUUAGGGUUCGAUUCCGGAGAGGGAGCCUGAGAAACGGCUACCACAUCUAAGGAAGGCAGCAGGCGCGCAAAUUACCCAAUCCUGAUACAGGGAGGUAGUGACAAGAAAUAACAAUACAGGGCAAUUCUGUCUUGUAAUUGGAAUGAGUAGAUUUUAAAUCUCUUUACGAGUAUCAAUUGGAGGGCAAGUCUGGUGCCAGCAGCCGCGGUAAUUCCAGCUCCAAUAGCGUAUAUUAAAGUUGUUGCGGUUAAAAAGCUCGUAGUUGGAUUUCUGCCUUGGGCGACCGAUCCACCUUUCCUACGGGAUUGGUCGGUAUCAGGUUUGACCUUGGCUUUUUCUUGGGAUUCGUGCUCACGUACUUAACUGUGCGUUGACCGUGUUCCAAGACUUUUACUUUGAGGAAAUUAGAGUUUUCAAGCAGGCUUA